AUUAUCCAGAACCCUGUUGAAUCUGGUUCUCUAUACUUUUACGCUGUUCUGUGAAUGAACUUUGAAGCGUCUUCAUGUAAAAGUGCAAUCUUUAAUUGAAUUUUCUUGAAUCACUUCUGCUUUUCGGGAGUGCCAGCGAAGGCGAGGCUUUAAUCUGUACCAAAAUUUAUUUUGUUGAAAGAUAGAAAUUUUAUUCAUAUGAUUUUCGCAGAUUGACUUACGAACAGAUUUUAUCAUAAAAAUCCAUGGAUGCAAAAUCUAAAUGGGACCACGUGUCAGAGGCACUAAUCUCAUUCACCCUAAAGCGCACGGCACGCUCGUCUUGUAGCUAGAUAAUGAUGGAGACAAACAACGAAGCGCACUAGAUCAAUCUGAAAAAUAGACUAAAACGUUGGGCUUACCGCAAUUGAAGAAGACAGAAGGAUAAUGUGCAGCGACGCAGGAAAUGGAAAACUGGUCUGCAUCACUGGCGCUUCUGGAUUUAUUGCUGCGUGGCUCGUUAAGCUCCUCCUUCUUCGUGGUUACACCGUCAAUGGCACUGUUUGCGAUCUAUGAUUCAAGAAAAGAAGGACACUUGCUUAAACUUGAUGGUGCAAGGGAGAGAUUGCAUCUAUUUAAAGCAAAUCUCCUGGAAGAAGGUCCCUUUGACGCUGCCGUUGAGUGGUGCGAGGGGGUCUUUCAUACUGCAUCUCCCGUUGUUUCUAAUGUCAAAGACCCACAGGUUCCUAUCAUCUUUAAAUUGUUGAAUGAUGACUGAAAGUAGACUGCAACUUCGCCUUUGCUAUGGUAUGAAUUUUCAAAGACUUUAGCUGAAGAUGCUGCCUGGAAAUUUGUAAAAGAAAACAGCAUUGACAUGGUCGCUAUCAACCCAUCAUUUGUGAUAGGACUACUCCUGCAACCAUCUCUUAAUGAAAGUUCAGCAGCAGUUUUAAAUCUGAUAAAUUGUAAUUUUCAUAUAAUCACAAGAAUCAUGUUGUACUGACAUCCUGGUAGUUGAUUUGUCCUAAUCAUAGUCACUUCAUAUUUUUUUAAAGAGAAUUUUUUUUUGGCUCCAAUUAAUUGACUGAAAGGGGGAAAGGAGUGAAAAUGUUGAGGUGGACUUAUGAGGUUUGGGAUGGAAAAAAUGAGGGUUAAAAUGAUUCUAAUCAGAAACUUUGAAUUGACUUACAUGUAUGUAUAUUAGAUCACAAUGCAUAACAUUAUGCUAGAUCAGGGUCUCAAAACAACAGUGCUCUAUGAUUUUGUCUCCAUGAAGAAUGGCAGAAAGAGGGAAUGCAUUGGACAGCCUUAAUGAGGGAGGCUUGUUUUAUAUAUAUAUAUAUAUAUAUAUUUUAUGACAGAAAAUGUAGGCUGUAUAGCUUGAGAUACAAAUAGUUGGCAUCACAUGCUCUUACUAGAAAAGAAGAAAGAUAAGCAGAUGCAAUUUUAGCUAUUUUCAUUCUUGAAAAAAGGAUUAAGAUACAGGGGAUAUUUCUUUGAAUUCUCAUUUCCCUCUUAGCACGUGGAAGACAAGGCCUAAGAUGGGUGUUGUUAGCUAUGGUUUCAUCUUUCUCAGAAAUAAGUUGAAGUCUGAGAGCACUUGUUUCUACAAUUUUUGGUUUACAAUCCAAUAAUCUCUUUCCCGAUAACAAUCUAAUUCUAUGAAUUUAAUUUAUUCUUAUUUUGAGGAAUGUUGGUUGAUUUGAAUGUGUGUUAACUAUUUUAUUGUUUUGGUUCUGGGACAAGAGUUUUUGUUUAAUUCCUUUUGACAUUCUUCUGUUGCUUGUUUGACUUAGGAUCACAAACGUUUCUAAAGAUCACUGGUGGAUGAAUCAAUGUAAAAGAUGUUGCAAAUGCCCAUAUCCAAGCAUUUGAGAUUCCCACAGCUAAUGGAAGAUGUUGUUUGGUUGAGUCUGCGGCAUACCACUCAGAGGUUGUGAAGAUUUUGCAUGAAUUGUACCCAAGAUUACUUCCAGAUGAGUAAGUUAACUAUUUAUGUUAUUUAUAUUUUUUUGCUGAACCCACAUUUGCUUGUGUUUUCUCAUUUCCAUGUUGCUGCUAAAAAUGGUGAUCGCAUAAUCACCUGGUAGUUGGCCAAAGUGGUUGGUUAAAAUGAUAUUUUAAUAUUUUAUACAGGUAAGAAAUAACAUUAGUCUAUUGGAAAUUAUUUGCAAUUUAAGGGAUUUAAUCAGUAUUAAUUCUCUUAGAAGGUAUUUUUUGUAUUUUUUGGGGUCCUUUUCUAUAAUUUUCUGGCUCUCUCUCUGUAAUUUUUUUUGGUCAACAAACGGUUAAAUUAGUGGUUAUUUAAUGAAUAGACGAUAUUGUUUCUUUUUUAAUAUGCAAAAGGAAAUAUUGUGCCACCCUUGACUUUCAAGAUACCUAGUACUUUUGGAAAAAAGUUCAAGGGUAAAUUAGCAUUCAACACUUUAACCGUUUGAUGUAUUGUCUAACAACUAAUGGCUUGCUGUGCCUUUGUUCAAAUAUGAACGACUGAGUUGUGUAUUUAGCUUAUUUUUUCAGAAUAGAAGUGCUUUAAUAAUGAGUCAUGCAAAAUCAAAAGUCCUAAAGGCAUAGGUUCAGUAUGCAAGGCAGGAUACAACAUAGUCUCACACUUUGGGGAGUGAUACAUGAACCACAAUGAACUCAAAAAUCAUUUCAUGAACUUGGAUCACCGGCCAGUUUGCAUUAUGAGUUUGUCUCACUAAUUGUGCUCGUUGGUGAUAAUCCAAUCCUUCAUGAGCAGGUCUCUGAUCUCAUUAACAUAUGUGCUAAGCAGAUAGUUUGUAAAGUCUUCUCUAGCAAUAAAGUUCAAGGCUUAAAUGGAGUCACUGCAAACCAUCACUCUUAUAAUUCCGCUGCCAUGCUUUACAAAAAUCUACUGACAUUUUCAUCACAGAAUUUGGCCUCCACAAGUAGCUUUUCUUCUAUGGUCAACCGGACCAUCUGCGUCAAGUCUCACCCACAAAUGUCAAGUGUUAACUUCAACUGGACAGAAAACUGCAUUGCGUUGCUCCUUGCUUAUAGUGACCGUUCCUUGAACUUGAUGAUAAUGUAUUUGGAUUAUAACCCAUAAUCCUGCACUCUACUUUCUUUGCAGUUCAGUAUGUAUUUAUUUUGUUUAAUUUUCUUUGUUUAUUUAUUUAUUUAUUUUUUUGACUUCACUAUAAAAUUUAUUAGGCGUUUGGACAGUGAGCCCUUAAUGCUGAAGUAUCAGGUUUCCAAGGAAAAGCGAAGGACCUUGGGAAUUGAGUUUAUUCCACCAGAGGUGGGCCUGAAAGAGAUUGUUGAAAGCUUGAAAGAGGAAUUUUGUUAACAUUUAGCUCUAAAUGUAGUCUCUGUCAGAAUACUAAAUGCUUGUUGUAACCGUAACGCAUGCUUUGAGCUUGUAUUUUGUUUUAAUAACCAUAUGUCUCUUGGAACACUCCCUCCGGUUCUUAAUGCAAGGUAAACUAAAUCAA
This is an RNA transcript of Prosopis cineraria, 3437 nucleotides long. It is a transcript of the gene named cinnamoyl-CoA reductase CAD2-like, with no coding region annotated. Lineage: Eukaryota; Viridiplantae; Streptophyta; Magnoliopsida; Fabales; Fabaceae. The record is from RefSeq and is a predicted model, not a curated record. The transcript has 3 exons.